Molecule: transfer RNA, 62 nt
Filed under: Neotoma lepida (desert woodrat)
Lineage: Eukaryota; Metazoa; Chordata; Mammalia; Rodentia; Cricetidae
Rfam family: tRNA
About the family: Transfer RNA (tRNA) molecules are approximately 80 nucleotides in length. Their secondary structure includes four short double-helical elements and three loops (D, anti-codon, and T loops). Further hydrogen bonds mediate the characteristic L-shaped molecular structure. tRNAs have two regions of fundamental functional importance: the anti-codon, which is responsible for specific mRNA codon recognition, and the 3' end, to which the tRNAs corresponding amino acid is attached (by aminoacyl-tRNA synthetases). tRNAs cope with the degeneracy of the genetic code in two manners: having more than one tRNA (with a specific anti-codon) for a particular amino acid; and 'wobble' base-pairing, i.e. permitting non-standard base-pairing at the 3rd anti-codon position.
Source: Rfam by way of RNAcentral
UGCGGUUCAGUCGGUAGAGCGCUUGCCUGACAAGCAUGAAGCCCUGGGUUCCAUCCCCAGCA